RNAcentral lists this signal recognition particle RNA (137 nucleotides) under Dorea sp. RNAcentral's name for it is "partial signal recognition particle sRNA large type". It matches the Rfam family "Bacterial large signal recognition particle RNA", at positions 122 to 256 of the family's 256-position model. Rfam says of the family: The signal recognition particle (SRP) is a universally conserved ribonucleoprotein involved in the co-translational targeting of proteins to membranes. The record is from RNAcentral. Lineage: Bacteria; Bacillati; Bacillota; Clostridia; Lachnospirales; Lachnospiraceae.
UACGCGACGGGAAUCUGUGAAUCGUGUCAGGUCGGGAACGAAGCAGCACUAAGCAGAACCUUCCGGGUGCCGUAAGGGUGCCUGGGCUGAGUUAACUGUCAAGGUAACGUCCGGGAAUCCCUGUUCGAAGCGCAAUG